CCUACGGGAGGCAGCAGUGAGGAAUAUUGGUCAAUGGGCGCGAGCCUGAACCAGCCAAGUAGCGUGAAGGAUGACGGCCCUACGGGUUGUAAACUUCUUUUAUAAAGGAAUAAAGUGAGGCACGUGUGCCUUUUUGUAUGUACUUUAUGAAUAAGGAUCGGCUAACUCCGUGCCAGCAGCCGCGGUAAUACGGAGGAUCCGAGCGUUAUCCGGAUUUAUUGGGUUGACAGGGAGCGUAGAUGGGUUGUUAAGUCAGUUGUGAAAGUUUGCGGCUCCACCGUAAAAUUGCUAUUGAUACUGGCAGCCUUGUGUACAGUUGCGGUAGGCGUCAUUCGUGGUGUAGCGGUUAACUGCUUCGAUAUCACG
Molecule: ribosomal RNA, 366 nt
Filed under: uncultured bacterium
Lineage: Bacteria
Description: partial 16S ribosomal RNA
Rfam family: Bacterial small subunit ribosomal RNA
Source: RNAcentral